This is a long non-coding RNA of Lolium rigidum, 261 nucleotides long. RefSeq lists it as uncharacterized. The record is from RefSeq and is a predicted model, not a curated record. Lineage: Eukaryota; Viridiplantae; Streptophyta; Magnoliopsida; Poales; Poaceae. The transcript has 3 exons.
UGGAUGUUUAUCGCUAUGACUCAUGGGGUGGUUCAUUACUUCCAACAUACACCGUCGGACAGCAGUUUGUUCCGACAACUUUAACGCUUGAUUCAGGAGUGACUCGACCACCGCCUCUUCUUGCUGAAGCUGACCUCCUUAGCUGCAUGGAUAAAGCAGGAAUCGGCACCGAUGCAACCAUGCAUGAACACAUAAAGAAGCUACUUGACCGUUGUUAUGCAACCAAAGAUGCAAAUUCACGUUUCUCACCAACAAAUCUUG